This 839-nucleotide ribosomal RNA is filed under the name uncultured bacterium. Its description in RNAcentral is "bacterial SSU rRNA". It matches the Rfam family "Bacterial small subunit ribosomal RNA", at positions 8 to 796 of the family's 1533-position model. The record is from RNAcentral.
AGAGUUUGAUCCUGGCUCAGAGUGAACGCUGGCGGCGUGGAUUAGGCAUGCAAGUCGAGCGAUAUUUUAGAUUGAGAGGUUGAAGCCGUAAGGUGGAUGCUGAUUUGUCUGAUUUAUAGCGGCAGACUGGUGAGUAACACGUGAGUAAUUUACCUCUAAGCCGGGGAUAGCCUUACGAAAGCGAGGAUAAUACCCGAUGUGAAAUUGGCAGCGCAAGCUGCCAAUUUCAAAGGUGGUUCGCAAGAGUUGCCGUUUAGAGAUGAGCUCGCGCACUAUCAGCUAGUUGGUAGGGUAAUGGCCUACCAAGGCUAUUGACGGUUAGCUGGCCUGAGAGGGUGGUCAGCCACACGGGGACUGAGACACUGCCCCGACUCCUACGGGAGGCUGCAGUCGAGGAUCUUUAGCAAUGGGCGAAAGCCUGACUAUGCGACGCCGCGUGAGGGAUGAAGGCCUUCGGGUCGUAAACCUCUUUUAUUAGGGAGGAAUUACCAAGGGUGAACAAUCCUUGGGGUUGACUGUACCUGAUGAAUAAGCCACGGCUAACUCCGUGCCAGCAGCCGCGGUAAUACGGAGGUGGCAGGCGUUACUCGGUUUGACUGGGUGUAAAGGGUCCGCAGGCGGCUCAAUAUGUGAAAGGUGAAAUCCUUUUGCUUAACGAAAGAAUGGCCUUUCAAACUAUUGAGCUUGAGGAUGGGAGAGGAGAGCGGAACUGCCGGUGUAAGGGUGAAAUCUGUGGAUAUCGGCAGGAACGCCUGUAGUGAAGACGGCUCUCUGGUCCAUUCCUGACGCUCAGGGACGAAAGCUAGGGGAGCAAACAGAAUUAGAUACCCUGGUAGUCC